AGGACACCUGAUGCUUGCGAGGUUUGUCCACGGUGCUAAUUUCAGUUCUACAUGAACGUGAGGGGAAAAGCUUGGAGAUGGCUGACUUUUUCGCUAGUCAAUUUACCCAAUGAGCCAAAAGAGCGCGACGAUGCCUAUGAUGCAACUUGUAUGUUCAUACGCGCGUGCAUGGAGCGUUUUCUACACUACUCCAAUUUAAUGGCGCGUGAUAGAGAA
Molecule: unclassified non-coding RNA, 216 nt
Filed under: Hevea brasiliensis (rubber tree)
Lineage: Eukaryota; Viridiplantae; Streptophyta; Magnoliopsida; Malpighiales; Euphorbiaceae
Source: RNAcentral